Orcinus orca (killer whale) is the source of this 1935-nucleotide long non-coding RNA. RefSeq lists it as uncharacterized. The record is from RefSeq and is a predicted model, not a curated record. Lineage: Eukaryota; Metazoa; Chordata; Mammalia; Artiodactyla; Delphinidae. The transcript has 2 exons.
GCCUCAAGUUUACGUGGCCCGCAGAGGAGGCGCUUUGUGAAUUUCCAUAGAGGCUUUCGGGGCUCCUGAGGACCUCGCUGUGAGCUCUCCCCUUGAGUAUGCCACAAAAGAAAAACAUAAAUUGGACUUCACCAAGAUUAAAAAUUUUUGUGCAUCAAAAGACACUAUCAAGAGAUUGUCAAAGACAAUUCACAGAAUGGAAAAAAAUAUUUGCAAAGCAUAUAUCUGAUAAGGGAUUAAUAUCCAGAAUAUAUGAAGAACUCCUACAACUCAACAACAACAACAAAUUUAACCCAGCUCAAAAAUGGACAAAGGACAUGAAUAGACAUUUCUCCAAAGAAGAUAUACCAAUGGCCAAUAAGCACAUGAAACGGAUGCUCCAUGUAACUAACCAUUAAGAAAAUGUAAAUCAAAACUAAUCUCAAAAAGUGAGAUACCACUUCACACCCAUUAGGAUGACUAUUAUUUGAAAAACAAUAGCAAAAUAACAAGUAUUAGCAAGGACGUGGAGAAAUUGGAACCCACGCACCAUUGCUGGUGAGAAUGUAAAGUGGUGCAACCACUGUGGAAAACAGUAUGGUGGUUCCUCUAAAUGUUAAACAUAAAAUUACCCUGUGAUCCAGCAAUUCCACUUCAGGGUAUAGACCUAAAAAAUAGAAAGCAGAGACUCAAAUACUUGUACAACAGUGUUCAUAGCAGCGUUAUUCACAAUUGCCGAAAGGUAGAAACAACCCAAAUGCCAUCAGUGGAUGAAUGGAUAAACAAAAUGUGGUACAUGCAUAUAAUGGAGUAUUAUUCAGCCUUAAAAAGGAAGGAAACUCUGAUAUAUGCUAUAAGAUGGAUGAACCUUGAAGACAUUAUGCUAAGUGAAGUAAGCCAGACAAAAAAAGACAAAUAUUGUAUGAUUACACUUAUAUGAGGUACUUACAAUAGGCAAAUUCAAAGAGAUUGAAAGUGAAACAGGAGUUACCAGAGGCUGGGGUGAAGAGUGGAUGGGAGUUGCUGUUUAAUGGGUACAGAAUUUCUGUUUGGAAUGAUGAAAAAGUUCUGGAAAUGUAUAGUGGUGAUGGUUUGUGACUGAAUUGUGAAUAUACUUAAUGCCACUGUAUUGUACACUUAAAAAUUGUUAAAAUGAUAAAUUUAUGUUAUGUAUACUUUACCACAAUAAAAUUAAAUACAAAAUAUUUUAAAAAGAGAAAAAAGAUCCACACCUUUCACAUGGUUUACCACAUCUCUUGCUUCCCCUCUCUUGUUACACACCAGUCACCUUGGCCUACGCUUAGUUUUUGGAACAUGCCGAACAAUUUUCACAUCUCAAGGCCUUUGCUCCUGCCUAGAAUUCUCUUGUCCCAGCUUUUUGAGUGACUAAUUAUUUUCUUUGAUCUCAGCUUCUAUGUCAGUUUCCCAGUGAGGCCACACUUGCCCCACCUAUCUAAAGUGGGUCUACUAUAAAACAUCCCCCUUUUUGUUUCCUUCAUAAUCUGUAAUGAUACUCUAAAAAAAAACAUAUACUUUUGCUGCCCUCACUGGAAUAUACAUUCUGUGAGAGGAAAGACCUUAAUCUGUUUUGCUUACCUUUUUAUUCCUAGUACCUAAUACUUAAUAAAUAUCCCUUGAAUGCAUAAAUAAAUGAAUAUGUGCUGAUUUGGAAAUUUUUUCAAGAUAUAUUAAAUUUUAAAAGCUAGAUGCAGAAGGUAUUUAGUAAAAUCCCAUUUUUGGUUAAAUAAAAAGAACAUGCAUUUAUAUGACUAUACAUAAAAUAUUUUUGAGAGGUAACAGACGAAACUUUACAGUGCAUGCCUCUAGGGAGUGAAACUUGGGACUUGUGGGGAAAGUGAUAUUUUAAUUUUUUAUUGUAUACCAUUCUCUACUGUUUGGAUUUUUACGUGUAUGCAAUUUUAUAAUUAAAUUAAAUCAAGUUGAAAAAUUAUUAAA